RNAcentral lists this ribosomal RNA (253 nucleotides) under uncultured bacterium. RNAcentral's name for it is "partial 16S ribosomal RNA". It matches the Rfam family "Bacterial small subunit ribosomal RNA", at positions 524 to 776 of the family's 1533-position model. The record is from RNAcentral.
UACGUAGGGUGCGAGCGUUGUCCGGAAUUAUUGGGCGUAAAGAGCUCGUAGGCGGCUUGUCGCGUCGGAUGUGAAAGCCCGGGGCUUAACUCCGGGUCUGCAUUCGAUACGGGCAGGCUAGAGUUCGGUAGGGGAGAUCGGAAUUCCUGGUGUAGCGGUGAAAUGCGCAGAUAUCAGGAGGAACACCGGUGGCGAAGGCGGAUCUCUGGGCCUUACCUGACGCUGAGGCGCGAAAGCUAGGGGAGCGAACAGG